GGUAUGAGUAGCGAAAAGAAAGGUGAGAAUCCUUUCCACCGAAAGCAUAAGGAUUCCUGAGCAACGAUCGUCGUCUCAGGGUAAGUCGGGACCUAAUCCGAGGCAGAGAGCGUAGGAGAUGGACAACUGGUUGAUAUUCCAGUACCGGUAGUAAUUGUUUGAGCAAUGGAGUGACACAGAAGGGCAGGCAAGCAUGCGAAUGGAAGAGCAUGUGUAAGCGUGUAGGGUGGUGCAUAGGCAAAUCCGUGCACUGAAAGCCUGAGGCGUGAUGCGGAGUGAGCAGAGAUGCGAGCGAAGUUGUUGACCCCACACUGUCGAGAAAAGCUUCUAGUGAGAGAGCUACCGCCCGUACCGUAAACCGACACAGGUAUGCGGGGAGAGAAUCCUAAGGUGCGCGGGAGAACCCUCGUUAAGGAACUCGGCAAAAUGUACCCGUAACUUCGGGAUAAGGGUAGCCACUGUUGUGAAGUCCCACGCGGAUGGAGCAUAGAGUGGUCGCAGAGAAGAGGCCCAAGCGACUGUUUACCAUAAACACAGGUGCCUGCUAAAGCGAAAGCUGACGUAUAGGUGCUGACACCUGCCCAGUGCCGGAAGGUUAAGGAAGGAUGUUCGGAUUAGUCCAAAGCAUUCGACUGAAGCCCCGGUGAACGGCGGCCGUAACUAUAACGGUCCUAAGGUAGCGAAAUUCCUUGUCGGGUAAGUUCCGACCCGCACGAAAGGUGUAACGAUUUGGGCACUGUCUCAACGAGGGACCCGGUGAAAUUGAAAUACCUGUGAAGAUGCAGGUUACCCGCGACUGGACAGAAAGACCCCAUGGAGCUUUACUGUAACCUGACAUUGGGUUUUGAUACAUUACGUACAGGAUAGGUGGGAGGCUUGGAAAGUUGGACGCUAGUCUGACUGGAGCCGACGUUGGGAUACCACCCUUGAUGUAUUGAAAUUCUAACCGCGAGAGUAACGAAAUCCGGGACAGUGUCAGGCGGGCAGUUUGACUGGGGCGGUCGCCUCCGAAAGAGUAACGGAGGCGCCCAAAGGUUCCCUCAGCGCGGCCGGAAAUCGCGCGAAGAGUGUAAAGGCAGAAGGGAGCUUGACUGCGAGUCAAACACGACGAGCAGGUACGAAAGUAGGGCUUAGUGAUCCGGUGGUACCGAGUGGAAGGGCCAUCGCUCAACGGAUAAAAGCUACCCUGGGGAUAACAGGCUAAUCUCUCCCAAGAGUCCAUAUCGACGGGGAGGUUUGGCACCUCGAUGUCGGCUCAUCACAUCCUGGGGCUGAAGUCGGUCCCAAGGGUUGGGCUGUUCGCCCAUUAAAGUGGUACGUGAGCUGGGUUCAGAACGUCGUGAGACAGUUCGGUCCCUAUCCAUCGCGGGCGCAAGAGAUUUGAAGGGGGCUGCUCCUAGUACGAGAGGACCGGAGUGGACGAACCGCUGGUGUACCAAUUAUCCCGCCAGGGGUACAGUUGGGUAGCUACGUUCGGAAAGGAUAAACGCUGAAAGCAUCUAAGCGUGAAACCAGCCUUAAGAUGAGAUCUCUCAUAGAGCAAUCUAGUAAGACACCUUAAAGAAGAUGAGGUUGAUAGGUCGGGAGUGUAAGUACAGCAAUGUAUUGAGCGGACCGAUACUAAUAUGUCGAGGGCUUGACUUA
This 1644-nucleotide ribosomal RNA is filed under the name human gut metagenome. RNAcentral describes it as "bacterial LSU rRNA". It matches the Rfam family "Bacterial large subunit ribosomal RNA", at positions 1299 to 2925 of the family's 2925-position model. The record is from RNAcentral.